UGCACUAAAUAUCUGUUUAAUAUGUCUAAAAGAUUAUUAAUUUAAAACGAACUGUAAAACAUUGUGGCAGCCGCAGCAUGAAAUAGACUUACAAUACAGGUAAAUGUUUUAUGUUCUAUAUUAGCGUUCAUAAAACAGGACUACAGUUCUCUGCAAUCUCAAUGUUUUGACGGUAGAUUUGAGCCUGCCCACUCGCCAAAGCCGUGCUGCCGGGUUACAGCGUCACUACAGCGGACGCCGCAAUGCAGAGGGGCCGCAGGAAGAAGCACUUGUUGCGACAAGUUGUUAGGUCAAGUCUAGAAGUCAUUUUCAAACAGAGGCAUCAGAGAGAAUUGAAGCCUGCAAUCAAGCUAUUAAGCAGACAGCAGAAAAAACGUGUUAUCAGUUUAGACGUGUUGUGUUCAUGUUGCCAUGAUACAGUUUGGGAAGGACCUUAAUACUAAAAUACUGCUCUUCAGUUUCUGACCAUGAGCAUCUUCAAUGUGGCAAGACAUGGAAUCCAGAGAGAAAUGCUGACCAGUUUAGCAAAUCGGUAUUGUAGAUCUGGAAAAGAAUGCGGCACUGCUUAUUUUACCAUCCUCAUUUUGCGAAAAUAGCAGGUUUCACUUCUGUCUAUUCAAUGAUUCAGCAAAGCUAAUAAAAGGAAUAAUUCUUUGUGGCACUUAAAGACCCCCAGUUGUGAAGACAUGGAACUGACUGUACAGAGGCACUAAAGAAUCUCUUAGUGUCACGGUCCUGUCUGCGUCCUAGUGUUCCCCUGCCUGUUUCUCCUGUUUUUACCCUAUGGACUACACCUCCCAUCAUGCUCCACGCUCCCUCACCUUUUCCUCGUCUCCCAUCAACCUCAAGCGAUACCCUCAUCACAGAGACUGUAUAUAUACUCUCCCUGUUCCUUUGUUCAUUGUCAAGUCUUGUCUAUAUAGUCAGCAAUUACGUUGUGUUCUCCAGUUCAUUAUUUUGUUGUAUUUGUUGUUGUGCUUUAAAAUAUAUACUGUAGUAUUGGAUAUCUCUCUGACUGUGGUCUGUGGCUGCAUACACACCCCCGUGACACUUAGCUGUCUAUUUUUUAUUCAGUGUGAUAUAUGCAAAACCCAUCAUUCGCACAAAAAUGUCAUAGAGCACUGUUUGUUUAAACUUAUUAGUGGCUACAAGACUGUCUAUCCGGCAAAUUAUACAACCAACUUAUACCAUGAUAUUUUAUGAGUUGUAUUGCCAUAAUGAACCUCCUAGUACUUGUGGUUAAUGGUUUAAUGUCAAUUUUUUUAAGACUUAAGCUUUAAUGCUUAAGGUUCCCCUAUGAUUACGAGCCAA
Long non-coding RNA from Triplophysa rosa, 1311 nucleotides. RefSeq lists it as uncharacterized. The record is from RefSeq and is a predicted model, not a curated record. The transcript is spliced from 5 exons. NCBI's taxonomy places the organism in Eukaryota, Metazoa, Chordata, Actinopteri, Cypriniformes, Nemacheilidae.